This 66-nucleotide transfer RNA is filed under the name Dardanus aspersus. RNAcentral's name for it is "tRNA-His". Lineage: Eukaryota; Metazoa; Arthropoda; Malacostraca; Decapoda; Diogenidae. The record is from RNAcentral.
GUUUGAGUAGUUUAUAAAAAUAUUAGUUUGUGGUACUAAAGAUGUAAUAUUCUAUUAUCUCAGACC